Molecule: long non-coding RNA, 1222 nt
Organism: Mercenaria mercenaria
Lineage: Eukaryota; Metazoa; Mollusca; Bivalvia; Venerida; Veneridae
Exons: 3
Source: RefSeq, a predicted model, not a curated record
AUAAAUGAAAGCUAAGCCUAAGCUAACAAUUUUAAGUAAACCGAACUGACUGCAAAUAUUUCAAAUGGGAAGAGUUGUGCAUCCACGAUUGAAAUUAUGCAAUUGUUAAAGACAGAAGUCGUAAGGAUAAAGUAGUAGAAAACGUAUUGGCGAUGUGUCAUACAAGAAUGCUCAGGUCGAGCUGUAACCAUCGGGGAACCACCGAAUACCGAAGAUGCCCGAUGAACAAGACGCUACACCAUCGUAGCGGCCCUUUGAAUUACCAAUAUCUAAUAAGCAAACUGAAGAAGAAUGCAAGAACUUACUCUGGAAAUACAAUGGGAAAUAAAUCUACUUUAGUUUGUGUAAGUAUUAAUUACUUAUCUAUUAUUUAUACAUUACAUUUAUCUCGUUUUCAUUUACACAUAUGAUGUUAUAUUGAAAAUCUUGUUUAUUAUGAAAAUAUAUAUGAGAGAUGUUUUAUUUUCUGUGUACCAGAGAAAGAGUCAUUAAUGGCAUAUUGCCUAAUUCUAAGGUGAAACGUUUGCAGAAUCUUAAAUGUACAUAUUUUGUAACCAUAGUGAUACUAACCCUAACCUUUAGUCAGUAUUUUAUGCAUAUUUUACACUAAAUGCGUGCGAACCUUAAAAAUAUGCAUAUUUUUGCCGUGCGCUACAAUUGAUAAUCAUUUUCGGGCAUGCGCAGAAGACCGCUCUAACUUUGCAAUGAGUUACAUUGAUUGUAAAUUACAAAAUAUCAUGAAUUACGUUGACACUUACUGCCCAUUGUGUCUCCAGCUGCACCUUGGUCUUGUUUCUGAUGCUUCUUUUUAUUUUUUUACCAAAUAACUUCAACUACAACAGUAAAAACAAAUGCUAUUUUUAUCUCUUUUUUAUAUCUUUGAUGCCUUAAAAUAUCAAAGAAUAUUAGCUGGUAAACUUACGUUGGCUAGAAAGUCAUUUAUUUUCAUAGUAAUUUUCACUGAUUCUGUUUUAUAAUUAAUAUAUUGUCUAAUUUGCGAAUUUUUGAUUAUUUGGCAUCCUACACUGACAUAUAAAGUUAUUAGCUCGAUUUGAAUGUGUUAUAUACUUAUAUUGUUUGUUCAAUAUUUAUAGUAAAAACAAAUAAAAAAUUAAGAAAAAAAAAUAUUACCAUAUUUAAAAUGUCUCUGUAGUUUUCAGAUUAUCAAAUGACUGAUAAGAUACCGUGGUCGUCAAUACAUCGAUUCAAAACAUGUAAAAUU